AGAAAUUUUAUUUUGGCCAGGAGCUGAAGUUGGUUGUUUAGUAGUAGUAGUUUGAGUAGUGACCGAAGUAGUAGUCUGGUGUGGUAAUUGGGGCAGCUGUGGUCUCUUGUGGAGCUGGGGAAGACGGUGGAGCUGGUGUAGUUGCAGAAGGUGUGGGUGGGGCAGCUGUGGUCUCUGGUGGAGCUGAGGAAGAUGGUGGAGCUGGUGUAGUUGCAGAAGGUGUGGGUGGGGCAGCUGUGGUGUCUUGUGGAGCUGGGGAAUUCACUGGUGCUAAUGUAGCUACAGAAGAGCUUGUGUUAACAUUUUCUCUUGAAGAUAUGGUGGUGGCAUUCUGGGGAAGAAAAGUCACAUUUGGAAGGGUAGUAAUUUUGGUGGCUGGUGGAAGCUUAGGCCUACAGCGUUUGUGCAGACAUUUAUAGGACUUUCUAAUGAACGGCUUCUGGUGAGCUAGCAG
This 454-nucleotide long non-coding RNA is filed under the name Homo sapiens (human). RNAcentral's name for it is "HSALNT0320132". The record is from RNAcentral. Lineage: Eukaryota; Metazoa; Chordata; Mammalia; Primates; Hominidae.